CAAAAACAUGUCUCUUUGUAAAAUAUAAAUAAAGAGUCGGGCCUGCUCGGUGAAUAAGUUUUUAACAGCUGCGGUAUUUUAACUGUACUAAGGUAGCAUAAUAAUUUGCCUUAUAAUUUGAGGCUAGAAUGAAUGGUUUGACGAAGGUUAAUCUGUCUCUAUCUUAUUUUUUAGAAUUUAAUUUUUAAAGUGAAAAAGCUUAAAUUUUUUAAAGGGACGAGAAGACCCUAAUGAGCUUAUAAUUUUAUUAUUAUUAUUUAAAAUAUUUGAAUAAUAAUAUAUAAAUUUUAAUUGGGGUGAUUAAGGAAUAAUUUUAAUAUAGUAACUUCCUUAAGUUAAAUGUUUAUAGAUAAAGUAACCAAUGAAAUAUUGCUUAUAAUAUAGUUACCAUAGGGAUAACAGCGUAAUUUGUUUAGAGAGUUCUUAUUGAAAAACGAGAUUGCGACCUCGAUGUUGGAUUAAAGUAACCUUAAGGUGCAGAAGCUUUAAUAAGGUAAAUCUGUUCGA
RNAcentral lists this ribosomal RNA (507 nucleotides) under Eucleoteuthis luminosa. RNAcentral describes it as "partial 16S rRNA". It matches the Rfam family "Bacterial large subunit ribosomal RNA", at positions 1808 to 2584 of the family's 2925-position model. The record is from RNAcentral. Lineage: Eukaryota; Metazoa; Mollusca; Cephalopoda; Oegopsida; Ommastrephidae.